This 845-nucleotide ribosomal RNA is filed under the name Comamonas sp. Bz06. RNAcentral's name for it is "bacterial SSU rRNA". It matches the Rfam family "Bacterial small subunit ribosomal RNA", at positions 31 to 833 of the family's 1533-position model. The record is from RNAcentral. Lineage: Bacteria; Pseudomonadati; Pseudomonadota; Betaproteobacteria; Burkholderiales; Comamonadaceae.
AUGCGCUGCGGCAUGCUUUACCAUGCAAGUCGAACGGCAGCACGGACUUCGGUCUGGUGGCGAGUGGCGAACGGGUGAGUAAUACAUCGGAACGUGCCUAGUAGUGGGGGAUAACUACUCGAAAGAGUAGCUAAUACCGCAUGAGAUCUACGGAUGAAAGCAGGGGACCCUCGGGCCUUGUGCUACUAGAGCGGCUGAUGGCAGAUUAGGUAGUUGGUGGGAUAAAGCUUACCAAGCCUGUGAUCUGUAGCUGGUCUGAGAGGACGACCAGCCACACUGGGACUGAGACACGGCCCCAGACUCCCUACGGGGAGGCAGCAGUGGGGGAAUUUUGGGACAAUGGGGCGAAAAGCCCUGGAUCCCAGCAAAUGCCCGGCGUUGCAGGGAUGAAGGCCCCUCGGGGUGGUAAAACUGCUUUUUGUACGGGAAACGAAAAACCCUGAGGGCUAAAUAUCCCUCGGGGUCAUGACGGGUACCCGUAAAAAAUAAGCACCGGGCUAACUACGUGCCCACCAGCCCGCGGGUAAAUACGGUAAGGGUGCAAAGCGUUUAAUUCGGGAAUUUCCUGGGGCUUAAAAGCGUGGCGCAAGGCGGUUUUUGAAAGACAGUUGGUGAAAUCCCCCGGGCUCAACCUGGGGAACUGCCAUUGUGACUGCAAGGCUGGAGUGCGGCAAAGGGGGAUGGAUUCCGCGUGUAGCAUGAAAUUGCGUAAUAUGCGGAGAACACGAAUGGCGAAAGCAUCCCCUGGGCCUGCACUGACGCUCAUGCACGAAAGCUGGGGGAGCAAACAGGAUAAGAUACCUGGUAUCCCGCCCUAAACGAUGUCAACUGUUGUUGGAAUUACU